AGGGAGUAAUAAGGGCACCAAUAUAGAUGAAUGGAGAUGGAUGAUGAAAAUCUUCAUUCCUAUUGGUCAAAAAUCAUGACCAAUAGGCUUUGAGGAGGCUUGCUGAGGCCAUAUUAGGGAUUAGGGUUAGUUUUUUGGGGCCAAUUGAGCUUUGAAGCCUAAGAUAAGUAAGUUUAGGUUUUUGGCUAUGAUUUUGGUGCAAAACUUGUAUGAUUUGGAGUUUAUAUGAAAGAGAUAUAGGCACUCUAAGUUAAGGUAUUGAUUUGGGAGCUACUGUCAUUCUUUUUGGUAUAACGCAUGCAUACGGAGGGCAAUUGAAGAGCAGCGACCAUGACUAGAGAGAGCACUUUUGUAGCUACACUUUUUGCAUAUUUUGAGCAAAAACUUUGUCAAUUAGAGUUUAGAGCGUUUGCUAGGUUUUCUUAGAUGCCAAAAGAUUGAGAGUGAAUUUGUAAUUGGUUUUUUUUUGGAGUAAAAGUUAAAGGCGAAUUCUACAUAUCCUAUGAAUUUGAAAUAAACUUAACUACUAGAUCAAGUGUAAUGAAUUUUUAAAGUUUGGAACAAGAAAACUCUUUGUGGAAAAAAUAUGUUUUGAAGGAAUUUUGAUAUAUUUUGAAUUUUAUACAAAUCAAAGGAGUUUUGGAAGCUAAGAUAAGAUUCAUAUAAAGGUUUAAGCUUAACUCUCUAUAGCUAGAUAUCUAGUAUAUUCUUAGAUAGCAAAUUAUACCAUACGACACUGUUUGCUUAGCUUUUGUCUUUCAUAUCUUAUUUUGUUUAGUUCUAUUUAGUUUUGUUCUGAUCUAUUUUGUCUUAUUUUGUGAUGAGGCUUUAUAUUGAUGUAGAUUAGAAGGAUCUUGGAUUUUUGAAAUAAUUUGGUCCUGUUUUAUUUGGUCUCAAAGUGAGUGUGAGACUA
RNAcentral lists this long non-coding RNA (913 nucleotides) under Physcomitrium patens. RNAcentral describes it as "long non-coding RNA (PPAT_LNC004365)". Lineage: Eukaryota; Viridiplantae; Streptophyta; Bryopsida; Funariales; Funariaceae. The record is from RNAcentral.